This 985-nucleotide long non-coding RNA is filed under the name Lepidothrix coronata (blue-crowned manakin). Its description in RNAcentral is "lncRNA (ENSLCOG00000001340.1)". The record is from RNAcentral. Lineage: Eukaryota; Metazoa; Chordata; Aves; Passeriformes; Pipridae.
AGAUUUUCAAUGCUAAUGUUGGCAAUGUUUUUGAUUAAUCAGACUACUCACCCAUUGUAAUUCUUUACAGGUAACCAUUACUGUGUGCAGCCAAAUGGGGAGCCUUGGUAUUAGCAUUGCUGGUGGAAAGGGCUCACCCUCGUGUAAAGACAGUGAUGAGGGGAUCUUGAUUGCACGGCUGCCGAAAGACAGCCCAUCAGACUUGGCUGGAGUACAAGCAGGAGACAGAGUGGCUGAGGCUACCUUCAUUUCAGAACCUGCUGUCCUUGAUGCUGGUCCUACUGAAGCUUCACCCAAGGGCAGCCACUUCCCAACAGUAAAUCACAUCAUAACAAUACCUCGGAUAAUCCUCACGCGCCCUUCCACUUCUGAUGAAGAUACCGACCAGUUGCCCCCAGACCCUGAUGACUUUGAGCCUGAGGAGCCUGGCAGCGCAGGAGGCCAUGCCUAUUCGGACUGUCUGAGCAGCGCUUUUUAUCCUCCCUAAUAAAGUACUUCUCUGGAAAGAGUUAAUGGGUGAUUUUCUCUCCCAUUGUUUGAUUACAUUUAGUGUAGUACUUGAACCACUAUGCCUUAUUUAUAGCGAAAACCAUUAAAUGGAGGACGGAUUUGAGCUGGGGGAGCAGAACCCUGUUUGUUUUUCUUUGCCUUGAACUUUCCUUUGGCCAGCACUUGAAACAAAAUGCACUGGGUAGAGUUAUGUGAAUGUCACCAUGUGUUUCAGUAUCCACUUGUGAGUGUCCUACAGCACCUAAAUGCAAUGGUGAAAAAAGCAGGUGAUUUUUAUUCAGAAGGUACUUUACCCAUUUGGAAACACAAUGAAAACAAUUGUAUAGUUUGUUGGUUUUUUUUAAAUCUUGUGUCCAUGUUUUGUCUAUACAGCUCAUCCUUUCAUCUGCCCCCAUGUUCUUUUGAAUUGUCCCUUUUAAUGUUGUUUUCUAUGAGAAUUAAAAAAAAGAAUUGUGUCUUUAAUAGUGAUGGGGUU